Molecule: transfer RNA, 72 nt
Filed under: Necydalis ulmi
Lineage: Eukaryota; Metazoa; Arthropoda; Insecta; Coleoptera; Cerambycidae
Description: tRNA-Lys
Source: RNAcentral
CAUUAGAUGGCUGAAAAGUAAGCAAUGGAAUUUUAAACCAUCCUAUAUUAAAUUAACAAUUAAUUCUAAUGA